Molecule: transfer RNA, 94 nt
Filed under: Clostridium botulinum E1 str. 'BoNT E Beluga'
Lineage: Bacteria; Bacillati; Bacillota; Clostridia; Eubacteriales; Clostridiaceae
Also listed under: 1 other name
Description: tRNA-Ser
Rfam family: tRNA
About the family: Transfer RNA (tRNA) molecules are approximately 80 nucleotides in length.
Source: RNAcentral
UGGAGAAAUGUCCGAGUGGUUGAAGGAGCACGCCUGGAAAGCGUGUAUAGGGUUCACGCUCUAUCAUGGGUUCAAAUCCCAUUUUCUCCGCCAA